AGAGUUUGAUCCUGGCUCAGGACGAACGCUGGCGGCAUGCUUAACACAUGCAAGUCUAGGAGCUCUUCGGAGCAACUGGCGCACGGGUGAGUAACACGUAGGUCAUCUGCCCCUAUCACAGGCAUAACAUCGGGAAACCGGUGCUAAUAUCUGAUGAGGUCUUGCGAUCAAAGCCUUCGGGCGGAUAGGGAUGAGCCUGCGGCUGAUUAGCUAGUUGGUGAGGUAAUGGCUCACCAAGGCGACGAUCAGUAGCUGGACUGAGAGGUCGAACAGCCACACUGGAACUGAGACACGGUCCAGACUCCUACGGGAGGCAGCAGUGAGGAAUAUUGGUCAAUGGGAGCAAUCCUGAACCAGCAAUGCCGCGUGUGGGAUGACAGGGCUCAGCCUUGUAAACCACUGUCGGAUGGGACGAGAAGGUGCUUAUGGCACCCGGGACGGUACCAUCAAAGGAAGGGUCGGCUAACUACGUGCCAGCAGCCGCGGUAAU
This 490-nucleotide ribosomal RNA is filed under the name uncultured bacterium. RNAcentral describes it as "bacterial SSU rRNA". It matches the Rfam family "Bacterial small subunit ribosomal RNA", at positions 8 to 524 of the family's 1533-position model. The record is from RNAcentral.